ACUGCAAGUCGAACGAACUCUGGUAUUGAUUGGUGCUUGCAUCAUGAUUUACAUUUGAGUGAGUGGCGAACUGGUGAGUAACACGUGGGAAACCUGCCCAGAAGCGGGGGAUAACACCUGGAAACAGAUGCUAAUACCGCAUAACAACUUGGACCGCAUGGUCCGAGCUUGAAAGAUGGCUUCGGCUAUCACUUUUGGAUGGUCCCGCGGCGUAUUAGCUAGAUGGUGGGGUAACGGCUCACCAUGGCAAUGAUACGUAGCCGACCUGAGAGGGUAAUCGGCCACAUUGGGACUGAGACACGGCCCAAACUCCUACGGGAGGCAGCAGUAGGGAAUCUUCCACAAUGGACGAAAGUCUGAUGGAGCAACGCCGCGUGAGUGAAGAAGGGUUUCGGCUCGUAAAACUCUGUUGUUAAAGAAGAACAUAUCUGAGAGUAACUGUUCAGGUAUUGACGGUAUUUAACCAGAAAGCCACGGCUAACUACGUGCCAGCAGCCGCGGUAAUACGUAGGUGGCAAGCGUUGUCCGGAUUUAUUGGGCGUAAAGCGAGCGCAGGCGGUUUUUUAAGUCUGAUGUGAAAGCCUUCGGCUCAACCGAAGAAGUGCAUCGGAAACUGGGAAACUUGAGUGCAGAAGAGGACAGUGGAACUCCAUGUGUAGCGGUGAAAUGCGUAGAUAUAUGGAAGAACACCAGUGGCGAAGGCGGCUGUCUGGUCUGUAACUGACGCUGAGGCUCGAAAGUAUGGGUAGCAAACAGGAUUAGAUACCCUGGUAGUCCAUACCGUAAACGAUGAAUGCUAAGUGUUGGAGGGUUUCCGCCCUUCAGUGCUGCAGCUAACGCAUUAAGCAUUCCGCCUGGGGAGUACGGCCGCAAGGCUGAAACUCAAAGGAAUUGACGGGGGCCCGCACAAGCGGUGGAGCAUGUGGUUUAAUUCGAAGCUACGCGAAGAACCUUACCAGGUCUUGACAUACUAUGCAAAUCUAAGAGAUUAGACGUUCCCUUCGGGGACAUGGAUACAGGUGGUGCAUGGUUGUCGUCAGCUCGUGUCGUGAGAUGUUGGGUUAAGUCCCGCAACGAGCGCAACCCUUAUUAUCAGUUGCCAGCAUUAAGUUGGGCACUCUGGUGAGACUGCCGGUGACAAACCGGAGGAAGGUGGGGAUGACGUCAAAUCAUCAUGCCCCUUAUGACCUGGGCUACACACGUGCUACAAUGGAUGGUACAACGAGUUGCGAACUCGCGAGAGUAAGCUAAUCUCUUAAAGCCAUUCUCAGUUCGGAUUGUAGGCUGCAACUCGCCUACAUGAAGUCGGAAUCGCUAGUAAUCGCGGAUCAGCAUGCCGCGGUGAAUACGUUCCCGGGCCUUGUACACACCGCCCGUCACACCAUGAGAGUUUGUAACACCCAAAGUCGG
RNAcentral lists this ribosomal RNA (1410 nucleotides) under Lactobacillus sp. RNAcentral's name for it is "bacterial SSU rRNA". It matches the Rfam family "Bacterial small subunit ribosomal RNA", at positions 53 to 1430 of the family's 1533-position model. The record is from RNAcentral. Lineage: Bacteria; Bacillati; Bacillota; Bacilli; Lactobacillales; Lactobacillaceae.